This is a long non-coding RNA of Fukomys damarensis (Damara mole-rat), 1275 nucleotides long. RefSeq lists it as uncharacterized. The record is from RefSeq and is a predicted model, not a curated record. The transcript is spliced from 3 exons. Lineage: Eukaryota; Metazoa; Chordata; Mammalia; Rodentia; Bathyergidae.
CGCAUGUCACUGCGUAGGCGCGUUAGAAAUUCCGUGACUUCCGGACCCUUCGUAAGGUAUAAGUAUGGCUGCUUCAGGCUCGUUGUAUCUUUCAAACAAAGGAUAUCUUAUGUUCCUUCUAAUUUAGAAUUCACUGAUGAUUCCAGAUAACUUUUUUUGGUGGAAAGGAGAACCACACUGGAUUUGGCCAUUCACCUGGAAGACGUGUUCAAAAAUACAGUGAAUGCUGCUGGUAAGUCCCAUCUAAGAGAAAGGAAGAGAUUCUCAAUACAAGAAGUAGUUUGUGGAACUUUACAGUGUGACAAGUUUUUUUAACUUGUUCAGUGAGCUACAGUUGAGAAAAGGUGUUUUCGACUCUUCUGUAAAUAAUGGAUCACGAACAACGCAUCAACGUGGAGUUUUGUUUCAAACUACAAAAAACUGCUAAAGAAACACAUGAGAUGUUAAAAUUAGUGUAUGGUGAUGGUGCAGUGACUAUGGAGACAGUUUCUGAGUGGUUUGAACAAUUUCGUAAUGGCUGUGAAUCAGUUGAAGACAAAAAGAAUGUCCUUCAACAUCAAAAACCCAAAAAAAGAUUGAAAGAAUGAGUGAAAUGAUGAGAUCAAACUACAGUUGACUUACGGACAAUUUGGAGGAUCUGAAGGUCUGUUCCAUUCAAAGCAUUUUAACAUUUGAAUAUAAGGAGAGUACCAAAUUUGUCCCACUCUUGACUGCUAACCAAAGCAACAUUCAUUUGUAAUUCUCUUUGGAGCUGUGCACUGUACCAUUUCAGGUUCCAUCAUUUUAGUAAAUGUCAUCAGGGGACAGAAACUUGAGUCUGUGAUUAUGGUGCGGAGACCAAGAUUCCCAGUUUUCAGUGGAAAUCACCCAGGUCGCCCUGUGUAAGAACAGCACAUCAGUCAAGAUCCAACAUCAAGGUGAUACUCUGUUUUUCGACCUUGAUGGAAUUGUGGGAUUUGAGUUUGUAACCAGGAGCCUUGAAAAUUACAAGAGUUUAUUAGAGCAUUUACAAAAUGACUUGUGAAGACAGCCUGAGAAAUGGGUUUAUCCUUCAUCACUGUGGCAAUUCAUGCCAUGUGUCACUUGAUACAGCAAUUUCUGUUUCUUCCUUACUGGAUCUGACACUGCAAAUUCUUGUUCUUCCCCAAAGUCAAAAUGACUGAAAGGUAAACAUUUUCAGUAGAUUAAGAUUACAAAGGUAGCCAGCACACACAACUAAAGACACAAGAGAGGCCAGCCAUAGUGGCGCACGCCUGUAAUCCCAGCACUCGGGAG